GAUGAACGCUGGCGGCGUGCCUAAUACAUGCGAGUCGAGCGAACAGAUAAGGAGCUUGCUCCUUUGACGUUAGCGGCGGACGGGUGAGUAACACGUGGGUAACCUACCUAUAAGACUGGGAUAACUUCGGGAAACCGGAGCUAAUACCGGAUAAUAUUUCGAACCGCAUGGUUCGAUAGUGAAAGAUGGUUUUGCUAUCACUUAUAGAUGGACCCGCGCCGUAUUAGCUAGUUGGUAAGGUAACGGCUUACCAAGGCGACGAUACGUAGCCGACCUGAGAGGGUGAUCGGCCACACUGGAACUGAGACACGGUCCAGACUCCUACGGGAGGCAGCAGUAGGGAAUCUUCCGUAAUGGGCGAAAGCCUGACGGAGCAACGCCGCGUGAGUGAUGAAGGUCUUCGGAUCGUAAAACUCUGUUAUUAGGGAAGAACAUACGUGUAAGUAACUGUGCACGUCUUGACGGUACCUAAUCAGAAAGCCACGGCUAACUACGUG
Molecule: ribosomal RNA, 497 nt
Filed under: uncultured bacterium
Lineage: Bacteria
Description: partial 16S ribosomal RNA
Rfam family: Bacterial small subunit ribosomal RNA
Source: RNAcentral